This is a long non-coding RNA of Dendronephthya gigantea, 282 nucleotides long. RefSeq lists it as uncharacterized. The transcript has 3 exons. Lineage: Eukaryota; Metazoa; Cnidaria; Anthozoa; Malacalcyonacea; Nephtheidae. The record is from RefSeq and is a predicted model, not a curated record.
GUUAUCCAUAUUUUGAAGACACAAAGAGAUGAAUCAGUUUCUAUCCUCAAGCUUCAUGGACUAACCGUGCCUUCCCAAAUAUCAGUCGAAGAUGUUGGCACACCAGCAGGGAAUAUGAAUAAUGAAGAACUUCAAAUUCAGAACGAAAAUUUGCGUCAUGUUAUUCAUCAAAUGAGAGAGGACAUGGAGGAUUUGACGAAACAGUUGACGCAACGUACCACUGGAUCGAUUACUAAUGCAGGAGAUGGCGUACCCAUUACGGAAGAAUAUGUGACAAGUCUG